AGUAAGAUGUCUGAUUAAAGAGUUAUUUUGAUGUAAUGAAAAAAGUGAUUAUUCACUCUUACUA
RNAcentral lists this transfer RNA (64 nucleotides) under Betatropis formosana. RNAcentral's name for it is "tRNA-Ile". Lineage: Eukaryota; Metazoa; Arthropoda; Insecta; Hemiptera; Achilidae. The record is from RNAcentral.